RNAcentral lists this ribosomal RNA (2791 nucleotides) under Escherichia coli. RNAcentral's name for it is "bacterial LSU rRNA". It matches the Rfam family "Bacterial large subunit ribosomal RNA". The record is from RNAcentral. Lineage: Bacteria; Pseudomonadati; Pseudomonadota; Gammaproteobacteria; Enterobacterales; Enterobacteriaceae.
AGCGUACACGGUGGAUGCCCUGGCAGUCAGAGGCGAUGAAGGACGUGCUAAUCUGCGAUAAGCGUCGGUAAGGUGAUAUGAACCGUUAUAACCGGCGAUUUCCGAAUGGGGAAACCCAGUGUGUUUCGACACACUAUCAUUAACUGAAUCCAUAGGUUAAUGAGGCGAACCGGGGGAACUGAAACAUCUAAGUACCCCGAGGAAAAGAAAUCAACCGAGAUUCCCCCAGUAGCGGCGAGCGAACGGGGAGCAGCCCAGAGCCUGAAUCAGUGUGUGUGUUAGUGGAAGCGUCUGGAAAGGCGCGCGAUACAGGGUGACAGCCCCGUACACAAAAAUGCACAUGCUGUGAGCUCGAUGAGUAGGGCGGGACACGUGGUAUCCUGUCUGAAUAUGGGGGGACCAUCCUCCAAGGCUAAAUACUCCUGACUGACCGAUAGUGAACCAGUACCGUGAGGGAAAGGCGAAAAGAACCCCGGCGAGGGGAGUGAAAAAGAACCUGAAACCGUGUACGUACAAGCAGUGGGAGCACAGAGCAAUCUGUGUGACUGCGUACCUUUUGUAUAAUGGGUCAGCGACUUAUAUUCUGUAGCAAGGUUAACCGAAUAGGGGAGCCGAAGGGAAACCGAGUCUUAACUGGGCGUUAAGUUGCAGGGUAUAGACCCGAAACCCGGUGAUCUAGCCAUGGGCAGGUUGAAGGUUGGGUAACACUAACUGGAGGACCGAACCGACUAAUGUUGAAAAAUUAGCGGAUGACUUGUGGCUGGGGGUGAAAGGCCAAUCAAACCGGGAGAUAGCUGGUUCUCCCCGAAAGCUAUUUAGGUAGCGCCUCGUGAAUUCAUCUCCGGGGGUAGAGCACUGUUUCGGCAAGGGGGUCAUCCCGACUUACCAACCCGAUGCAAACUGCGAAUACCGGAGAAUGUUAUCACGGGAGACACACGGCGGGUGCUAACGUCCGUCGUGAAGAGGGAAACAACCCAGACCGCCAGCUAAGGUCCCAAAGUCAUGGUUAAGUGGGAAACGAUGUGGGAAGGCCCAGACAGCCAGGAUGUUGGCUUAGAAGCAGCCAUCAUUUAAAGAAAGCGUAAUAGCUCACUGGUCGAGUCGGCCUGCGCGGAAGAUGUAACGGGGCUAAACCAUGCACCGAAGCUGCGGCAGCGACGCUUAUGCGUUGUUGGGUAGGGGAGCGUUCUGUAAGCCUGUGAAGGUGUGCUGUGAGGCAUGCUGGAGGUAUCAGAAGUGCGAAUGCUGACAUAAGUAACGAUAAAGCGGGUGAAAAGCCCGCUCGCCGGAAGACCAAGGGUUCCUGUCCAACGUUAAUCGGGGCAGGGUGAGUCGACCCCUAAGGCGAGGCCGAAAGGCGUAGUCGAUGGGAAACAGGUUAAUAUUCCUGUACUUGGUGUUACUGCGAAGGGGGGACGGAGAAGGCUAUGUUGGCCGGGCGACGGUUGUCCCGGUUUAAGCGUGUAGGCUGGUUUUCCAGGCAAAUCCGGAAAAUCAAGGCUGAGGCGUGAUGACGAGGCACUACGGUGCUGAAGCAACAAAUGCCCUGCUUCCAGGAAAAGCCUCUAAGCAUCAGGUAACAUCAAAUCGUACCCCAAACCGACACAGGUGGUCAGGUAGAGAAUACCAAGGCGCUUGAGAGAACUCGGGUGAAGGAACUAGGCAAAAUGGUGCCGUAACUUCGGGAGAAGGCACGCUGAUAUGUAGGUGAGGUCCCUCGCGGAUGGAGCUGAAAUCAGUCGAAGAUACCAGCUGGCUGCAACUGUUUAUUAAAAACACAGCACUGUGCAAACACGAAAGUGGACGUAUACGGUGUGACGCCUGCCCGGUGCCGGAAGGUUAAUUGAUGGGGUUAGCGGUAACGCGAAGCUCUUGAUCGAAGCCCCGGUAAACGGCGGCCGUAACUAUAACGGUCCUAAGGUAGCGAAAUUCCUUGUCGGGUAAGUUCCGACCUGCACGAAUGGCGUAAUGAUGGCCAGGCUGUCUCCACCCGAGACUCAGUGAAAUUGAACUCGCUGUGAAGAUGCAGUGUACCCGCGGCAAGACGGAAAGACCCCGUGAACCUUUACUAUAGCUUGACACUGAACAUUGAGCCUUGAUGUGUAGGAUAGGUGGGAGGCUUAGAAGUGUGGACGCCAGUCUGCAUGGAGCCGACCUUGAAAUACCACCCUUUAAUGUUUGAUGUUCUAACGUUGACCCGUAAUCCGGGUUGCGGACAGUGUCUGGUGGGUAGUUUGACUGGGGCGGUCUCCUCCUAAAGAGUAACGGAGGAGCACGAAGGUUGGCUAAUCCUGGUCGGACAUCAGGAGGUUAGUGCAAUGGCAUAAGCCAGCUUGACUGCGAGCGUGACGGCGCGAGCAGGUGCGAAAGCAGGUCAUAGUGAUCCGGUGGUUCUGAAUGGAAGGGCCAUCGCUCAACGGAUAAAAGGUACUCCGGGGAUAACAGGCUGAUACCGCCCAAGAGUUCAUAUCGACGGCGGUGUUUGGCACCUCGAUGUCGGCUCAUCACAUCCUGGGGCUGAAGUAGGUCCCAAGGGUAUGGCUGUUCGCCAUUUAAAGUGGUACGCGAGCUGGGUUUAGAACGUCGUGAGACAGUUCGGUCCCUAUCUGCCGUGGGCGCUGGAGAACUGAGGGGGGCUGCUCCUAGUACGAGAGGACCGGAGUGGACGCAUCACUGGUGUUCGGGUUGUCAUGCCAAUGGCACUGCCCGGUAGCUAAAUGCGGAAGAGAUAAGUGCUGAAAGCAUCUAAGCACGAAACUUGCCCCGAGAUGAGUUCUCCCUGACUCCUUGA